This 494-nucleotide ribosomal RNA is filed under the name uncultured bacterium. RNAcentral's name for it is "partial 16S ribosomal RNA". It matches the Rfam family "Bacterial small subunit ribosomal RNA", at positions 28 to 507 of the family's 1533-position model. The record is from RNAcentral.
GACGAACGCUGGCGGCGUGCUUAACACAUGCAAGUCGAACGGAAAGGCCUGCUUUCCCUUGUGGAUUGCGGGUACUCGAGUGGCGAACGGGUGAGUAACACGUGAGUGAUCUGCCCCCAACUUGGGUAUAAGCCUGGGAAACUGGGUCUAAUUCCCGAUAGGACUGCAGGGUGGUGCCUGUGGUGGAAAACGAUUUUCUAGUGGUUGGGGAUGAGCUCGCGGCCUAUCAGCUUGUUGGUGGGGUAAUGGCCUACCAAGGCGGCGACGGGUAGCCGGCCUGGGAGGGUGGACGGCCACAUUGGGACUGAGAUACGGCCCAGACUCCUACGGGAGGCAGCAGUGGGGAAUAUUGCACAAUGGGCGGAAGCCUGAUGCAGCGACGCCGCGUGGGGGAUGACGGCCUUCGGGUUGUAAACUCCUUUCGACCGCGAGGAAGCCACCUGGUUGGAAGGGUGGUGACGGUAGUGGUAGAAGGAGCACCGGCUAACUACGUG